This 945-nucleotide long non-coding RNA is filed under the name Androctonus crassicauda. The record is from RNAcentral. Lineage: Eukaryota; Metazoa; Arthropoda; Arachnida; Scorpiones; Buthidae.
UUCAGUUAAAAAUCGCGAUGCUGCUCUACAUCGAGUUAAUUAUGUUCUCGUAAGUGAUAAUUUUUAGUAAUUGAAAUUCAAGAAUCUUUCAGAAUGGCGUUGGCUGAUUUUUUUCAUGCUUUUAAACUAACAUUUAGGUUUAUAGGCCCUAUUUAAGAUACAUUUUGGAACAAUAUUUAUACACAUUCUAUCCGCACCGCACAUAAAUCUAAGCUUUAUCAGAGAAAAGGAGAUAGGUUUUUUUUUUUUAUCGAAGGAAACUGUGCAGCCUUAUCAAAUAGCCUAUUUAAUUGUGUGAGGGCAUUUUGAGCAAUUCGUUGACAGCAGAAGAUAGCUAAUUCCUUAUUUUUUCAGCUCAAGAAAAAUUUACGACUCAUCGAAUUAUAGACUUCGUUUAGAUUUAAACAAACCGUAAGAGCUGUGGCAUUACAGUACCCAUAACUGGAGGCACGAAAAGUGGAAGGUUGGCAUGUGUGGAGUUACACGAAGUUUUGUAAGUACUAAAUCGACACAAAUCACUGUCCCUGUUGGCCGAAGACGUAAUGAGGAUUUCUACAUGCGAAUCAUCACGUCGGUUCAUACCAUCACGAUUUUAGUCGAAGAUAAAGUUGUGUGGCCCCCUCCACGAACUGUAUUUCUCUGUCGAUUCAUAAAUCUAAUGCUUGAUUCAAUUAUUUCUUCGCAGUAAUCGAUGUCACGAAAAACCAACAAAUGCUUUUUAGUCGUUGUGUGAGGUCCAUUCCGUUUCCGAAAACUUAUAGAAUCCAAACGUCUCAAUGUCUCGAUUAUCAUAAGUCAUAGCAUUAAUAUAUAAUUUAUUUCUUCCAGAAUGGAUUUGUAUUGGGGGAAAAAUUGCGAUUUUUCUAAUCUUCCUUUCUAAUCUCUUUUCCAUCUGCACAACAGAUGAUAAAAAAGAUUGUGCUAGGUCAUCUAUAUUAUAAUUCU